Molecule: ribosomal RNA, 567 nt
Filed under: uncultured bacterium
Lineage: Bacteria
Description: partial 16S ribosomal RNA
Rfam family: Bacterial small subunit ribosomal RNA
Source: RNAcentral
GGAAUCUUCCACAAUGGACGCAAGUCUGAUGGAGCAACGCCGCGUGAGUGAAGAAGGUUUUCGGACCGUAAAGCUCUGUUGUUGGUGAAGAAGGAUAGAGGUAGUAACUGGCCUUUAUUUGACGGUAAUCAACCAGAAAGUCACGGCUAACUACGUGCCAGCAGCCGCGGUAAUACGUAGGUGGCAAGCGUUGUCCGGAUUUAUUGGGCGUAAAGCGAGCGCAGGCGGAAGAAUAAGUCUGAUGUGAAAGCCCUCGGCUUAACCGAGGAAUUGCAUCGGAAACUGUUUUCUUGAGUGCAGAAGAGGAGAGUAGAACUCCAUGUGUAGCGGUGGAAUGCGUAGAUAUAUGGAAGAAUACCAGUGGCGAAGGCGGCUCUCUGGUCUGCAACUGACGCUGAGGCUCGAAAGCAUGGGUAGCGAACAGGAUUAGAUACCUUGGUAGUCCAUGCCGUAAACGAUGAGUGCUAAGUGUUGGGAGGCUUCCGCCUCUCAGUGCUGCAGCUAACGCAUUAAGCACUCCGCCUGGGGGAGUACGACCGCAAGGUUGAAACUUUAAAGUGAAUUGAC